RNAcentral lists this transfer RNA (76 nucleotides) under Cyanidiococcus yangmingshanensis. RNAcentral describes it as "tRNA-Glu". It matches the Rfam family "tRNA". From Rfam's summary of the family: Transfer RNA (tRNA) molecules are approximately 80 nucleotides in length. Their secondary structure includes four short double-helical elements and three loops (D, anti-codon, and T loops). Further hydrogen bonds mediate the characteristic L-shaped molecular structure. tRNAs have two regions of fundamental functional importance: the anti-codon, which is responsible for specific mRNA codon recognition, and the 3' end, to which the tRNAs corresponding amino acid is attached (by aminoacyl-tRNA synthetases). tRNAs cope with the degeneracy of the genetic code in two manners: having more than one tRNA (with a specific anti-codon) for a particular amino acid; and 'wobble' base-pairing, i.e. permitting non-standard base-pairing at the 3rd anti-codon position. Lineage: Eukaryota; Rhodophyta; Bangiophyceae; Cyanidiales; Cyanidiaceae. The record is from RNAcentral.
UGUCCCUUUCGUCUAACGGUUUAGGACAGUGCUUUUUCGCAGCACAAACACGAGUUCAAUUCUCGUAAGGGAUAUC